GCUGGCCGCGGACUUACAGCCACGACGGCACUUCCCCCGCGCCUGGUUCCCUGCGCCUGCGCUCUAGGUGGUGGGCGCCUGCUUCUCGGUUCCCCACGACUCCCCUCCUCGCUCAGGCAGCGACUGUUUCUUUCCAGAGCUUCGCGUCUUACGUCUUGGCACAGGGGAGCUGAGAGUUCACAGGAGAAAGACAAUCUUCUUGUGUUCGGAGAAGGCUGAAUGAAGGACAUGGUGUUGUACUCAUCGAGACAUUAGUUGCAAGCUGGGCGAUCCCUGGAACCUAAAGCAUGAAUCCAAAACAAAUGAGACCUUCAAGAAAAAGGAGGAGGUAUCCUACUUUGGCAGAGAGAUUUGAGUCACCAGCUUGGUGAGAAGCUCACAGCAACCUUCAGAGAAAUUUCAUGCCCUUGAAGGUUCCUGCAAGACCCAUUUUACCCUUUUUCCUCCUUAACCUCCACUCUGCUAGACCUGGCCCAUGGCGGUCAUGAAAAUGCGACUGUCAGAUUUUCAACUCCAGGAGGGUGAUUGAUGGAGGUCCUCAGCUGCUGCACUCUGAAUCCGUCACCUCCUUAGUGUUGAGGCCAUGCUUCCCACCGUGGCUCCCAGUCAAAGGCAGAGUGCAUUGGGGAUACUAAGACAGGAGACCAAGGGGAUGCCUGGGAGAUGUGAGUCUCCUUUGAUGGGUCAGUGGCUCCAGGAUUGCCCAUUGGCUUUGCCAAACACUCUUGGAUGACCAGCAUCCUGGGAUAAUUUCACCCCCGCCCUUCUCUACUUCACUGGGUUCUUACGGCUCCUCAGCCUCUUCCAGCUCCUUCAGAUUUCUCCCCACAGGCAUUUCCCCCAAUAAAUUUAUUGCUUGUUUCAUUUUGUUUUGACAUCUACCUCUUGGAGGAUUCAUACUAACCUACUCCCCUUGCUCAAGAGUGGGAACCCCCCGGGGCUUCCCUGGUGGUCCAGGAGUUAAGAAUCUGCCUUGGAAUGCAGGGGACUUGGGUUCGAUCCCUGGGUGGGGGACUAGGAUCCCACAUGCUGAGGAGCAUCUAAGCCUGAGAGCUGCAACUGCUGAGCCUGCACACCACGACGAGCCAGUCCAUGAACCGUGGUGAAAGAUCCCUCACGAUGCAACAAAGAUCCAAUGUGCUGCAACUAAGACUUGAUG
Molecule: long non-coding RNA, 1159 nt
Organism: Bos taurus (domestic cattle)
Lineage: Eukaryota; Metazoa; Chordata; Mammalia; Artiodactyla; Bovidae
Source: Ensembl